Molecule: non-coding RNA, 45 nt
Filed under: Schistosoma mattheei
Lineage: Eukaryota; Metazoa; Platyhelminthes; Trematoda; Strigeidida; Schistosomatidae
Source: RNAcentral
AUCCAGCUGAUGAGUCCCAAAUUGGACGAAACGCGCGCCAUGGAU